Molecule: transfer RNA, 91 nt
Filed under: Streptomyces noursei
Lineage: Bacteria; Bacillati; Actinomycetota; Actinomycetes; Kitasatosporales; Streptomycetaceae
Description: tRNA-Pro
Source: RNAcentral
CACCGAGGGGGGUGCGGAGGCCGCCGGGGUCGGGGCCGGGGUCAGGGCCGAGACUGUGGCCGGUUCCGGUUCCGGUUCCGGUUCCGGUGCC